AAUGGAGAUACAUCUUCGAGCAUCGCUGCAGCUAUACAACCAGAAACGCAGACUUCUGAUACUGCUGCUGAAAUCAACUCUGAUGCGCUCCCCUCUGCUUCCUUUAUAAGAACUGAUACCAUUAUUGUGGAUCAGCCAACAGGUUCAGAAACAACUUUUGCAUUGCUUCCCUCAUCUUCUAGGAGAACUAAUUCAAGAGGUUCUGAUUCAAACAACGGAUAUACAUCUGAACCUAGAAGGAGAAGGUUGAGAUAAACAAAAAGCUGUUUCCUGGAGAUAUAGAUCAAUAUAAUUCAAGUUUCCUCAUCAUUAUCCUGCAAACAUUUUUGUUUGCAGAAGGUUUCCGAAUUUAGUUCAUAUGGCUGUGUUUGGCAACCAUGUAUGAAGUUCUGACUGCUGUUAAAAGCAUUUUGAAUUCAUUCAGUAAAAAGGUACUGCAAUUUGAUGUAUGGCAUCUGGGCUAUCUAUAAGAGCACCUUUUUGUCCUCUUUCCAAGAAUUGAACUUUCCAUGGAAGAAUCUUUCGGUGUUGUUCUCUUUCAAGGAUAUAUUGAGGAUAGUUACUGGUGUUAUGCCAUGGCACAGGGUCCUUUUUGUAUGCCAAAGAGCAGUCUAUAUUUGCAAGUCUUAUAGGUGCUAAUUCUUGAUUCUGUAUGCUUGUACAUGCUUUAUAUCUUGGUAAAUAUAUAUGUACUACUACUAGCUUUUGAAACUGUCAGCUGCUAGUUCUUUAAACUGAUACUUUCUUGGAUUUUAUUAUGACAAGUCCAAAACUAAUGGUCGGUUGUGGCAUUAUUUUGCUGACCAACUCUACUUUCGUUGAGUUUACUUGAUCCUUCGAUUAAUUCUGCAUUAAGUUAUCAGGCACCAUUAUUCAUAUUGUAUAUUUUGGUUGGAUGAUAAGUGUUAAGAUAAGGUCAUAUGAGUUCAUACCAUUUGCCACCCAAUCCUCUAAGUUUGGAAGUAGAAAUAAAGAUAAUACGAUGGCAUUUUUCAAUGCUAAACAUUGACUUCUUGAAAUACCUUGGACAUGCAAGUGGUAAGAAGAAGAUUAGGAUUGCCAAUUUUUUCAAAAUUUGUGAGGGAUGUUGACAUUUAGCUCUAAAGAGAAAGAUUUCAGUUAGGGCUAUACUUUGUAAUAAGAACCUAUUUCUAAUGUCUUUUAAGAUGGCAGAAAUGUGACAAGGUAGCAAAUCUUAUCACUCAAAAUGGAAAGAAAAAAAAAAUUGGAAACAGCUGGUUGUCAGUCGCGUUCUUUUUGGUCUUCAUAGGUUUUUAAGUUGAAAGUCUGUACAUCAGUAGGCGUCUAAUUUUUACCAUUGUAGGUUUAAUUUUCAAAAUACAUAUGAAAACUACUCGGUCAAUGUUUGGUGCAUGAGCUUGGGCUGCCAAACUCUGAAAGUUCGAUCACUUUUUUGUUAAGUAUCCUAUGGAAGAAAAGGUCAGUUUCCCAUAUUUAGAUUCAAAUGCUAAUAGAUCCUGAGUGGUUUUUAAUCUUUGAUGCGCUGUUAUCUGGUUUGUAGAUUUCUCACUCCGUUAUUUUAUGACCUUAUCCUUGUUGAUGCUGGAGUUAAUUACUUUUGUUCGUUCCAUAUUUAGGGCAUAUAUUGUCUAUUUUGUUGUCUGACUCACCAGCUUCAGUUAUGCAUAUUGGUGAUAUAUAAGACGCCAUAAAUUACAUUUAUAGAACAUCAAGUUUCUGUCUUUGUGCAUGCCUGAUACAGUGCAUGAGUAUUACAUCGAGCAAAUUGUUUUUUUCUGUGAACAUGGUCAAGUAUUUGUCCUUGGGUAUGCUAGUGAUCACCUCAACAAGUAUCAGACAUUCACCGCUAAAAACAGUCUAUUUUUCUUGUUACCAAGGAAAAGUCAUUACCGUAUUCUAGAAUGAGAAAUAAAUGUUUCUGGUUAGAAAAUGAUAUCCUUCCACUUCCUUUCUCUAGUAGCAGUUCUUUCAUAGAUCACUGAAAGUAGUUAUACAAUGAAGAAGUUACUCAUUGGAAGCAUCAAUAUGAUUAUGUUAGGUUGAAAAUGAAGAGGACCUAAGAGUGAGUCCCUAUCAAUAAAUAAUGUGAGAUUUUAUGAAGGUGCACCUUCUUUCAUUGAAUUUUUCUAGCUUUUUGCUUAUCUCUUGGUCGUUCAGUGCUUCUUGUGGCAUACUUCAGAGCCGUGUUGGUUUAGAUGUUUGCCUCAAUCGUGGCCAUUGACUCGACCAUAGUAAAUCACCUCAGUUAUAUAGCUGAGUUAUUGCCAGAAGGUUGUUUUGGGUUUCAGUUCAAAAUUCAGAUUGAUUGACAUUGUUUGAAGGGACGUGGAAAUGGAAGACAAGAAGCAACCAGAUUUUAAAGAGGGAGAGUGAUUGCUGCUGUUGAAAUUGAAAGCGCGAGUUGCAGCUGACUGAGAUUAAGGUGCGAUUGCAUUGCAUGUGAUUUGUGGGGCUGUAUUAGAUUUUGCAAGUUGAAUCAAGUUUAUUCCUCUCAAAAGAGAAGCAUACAAGGUUGGUAGACAAAUGCAUAAAAGGCACAUAUAUAAGCUUAAAUCUAUCUGAGCCUAAACAUAUGUAGCAGAUUUGUUUGGGUAUUGGUUGAGGGAGGUGGCUUUCGACACACGUUCAACGCUUUCUCCUCCAGUUUUGGUACGUGAUUAUUAUCUAUAUAACUUUCUCAAGCAUUCGCUGCCUUAAUUAAUCUUAUUUACCUUUGGAAAGCAAAUUUAGGGGAUUCUUUUUUGCUUUUGAUUGGGAUUUUGUAGUUGAAUAAGGGACAUAUUCUGCACUCUCUUCGUGUUAUGUCUGGUUGAUUGAUGCUCAGCCUUA
Long non-coding RNA from Pyrus x bretschneideri (Chinese white pear), 2811 nucleotides. RefSeq lists it as uncharacterized. The record is from RefSeq and is a predicted model, not a curated record. Lineage: Eukaryota; Viridiplantae; Streptophyta; Magnoliopsida; Rosales; Rosaceae. The transcript has 2 exons.